AGGCUGAAGUGCAAUGGCGCGAUCUCGGCUCACCGCAACCUCCGCCUCCAAGGUUUAAGCGAUUCUCCUGCCUCAGCCUCCCGACUAGCUGGGAUUACAGGCAUUCACCACCAAGCCCGUCUAAUUUUAUAUUUUUAGUAGAGACGGGAUUUCCCCAUGUUGGUCAGGUUGGUCUCGAGCUCCCGACCUCAGGUGAUCGCCCGCCUCGACCUCCCAAAGUGCUGGGAUUACAGGCGUGAACCACCGUGCCCGGCCUUGGCCGCAUGUGUUUUGAAUUUUGCUGCCCGGAAUUCACUGCGAGGACUGGGAUCACCCGUCACCCCGCCCUGGUCUACGGAAAAUGAAAUGUGUUUACUGAUAUAGAAACGGAAUAACGGCGCUGUGGGCUGGGGAGGGCCGAGCUGCCUUCAGGCUUCUGGUCUCCAGCUGCAGGGCACUCACACCUGCCCGUUAUGAAAAUGCAGACCCGCAGGGCAGGAAUUCCGAGUCCGGGCUGGAGCGUGAUCUGGAAUCCGGCUCUCUUGAAACAGCACCGCGGAGGAUUCGGAUCCGGGGUCUGACCGGCAGACCCAGGCUGCACGAUGGAUGAAUAAUGUACUCAGACACCGAUAUUCAGUGAAAGAGUGCACCAGAGGGCCAGGCCACUCACAGAAAGGGUUGUGGCAGCUGCGUGCCCUGACUAUCUGGCCCUGUGGGCCUUUAUUCAGCACAGAUUUAAUGACAAAGGCUUUGAGUCAACACACCUGUGGGUAAUUAAUCUGGUCGCAGUCCCCCGGAGAGAGCAGUCCUACAAAUGAUCAAAGGAGCUGGGACAGUUAUAUUCAUCAGAACAGCACGGUGUCAAGGCCCUCACCCCCAGAAAGCUUAGGAGACACUGUUUUAUGGAGGAGAGUGAGAUUGGAGGAAGCCCUGACUCCAGGUCUCCUGAUCCUUCCUACACAAAGCGAAGCUGAAAAAAAGUGCAGGACACUCCAUUUCCUCCUGGGACCAGACAGGGAAGCCAGAGCCACCAUGGAUGUCAAAUUCCGGCAAGGAAACACCAGUAUAGCAAAAUCUCCACAUCACAUUUUAAAGCUCACACAAUGGCUCAAAGAGAACCCACAUCAAAAAACCGAAUUCCUAGCUCAGGUGAGAUCACCAAAGUUGCCUGUGAGGCUUCGUGGAACCUGCAGGUAGAAAGGACAUCUUUAUUUCGAGCUGCAGCCCAGUUGCUUCUGCGUCUUGGAGCCCCUUGAAAGGACCCUCUCCCUUCAACAGUACAUAGGGAGGCCAUUUCUGGGGAGAAAUGUAGACUGUCCUUAGACUCCUGAGGUUUUUACACUUGCUUGCUGACUCUGUGGACUUUGACUUCAUCAUUAAACAUCUUAUAAUGAUGUAAUUUGCUUUGACUGUAAGUGUAGAACAGGACGCUGUUCCUGAAUCAGGAAACAAGGGACUGGUGACCUGAACUGCCACCACCCUCCCUGGUGCUCAGAUGCAAUGAAAUCGUGAGGCAACAAAUCUAUGGCUAGGUAAAGGGUCAACUCCAUUUCAGCAAAUGUUUCAGAUGUUCCUUCCUGCCUAGUAAUGUUCCAGCUUUACCCCAGCCUUAAUCUUUUAAAAUGUAUAUUUUCCUUAGCGUUGAUUUUAAAGUAAUUCGUAUGUAUUUAUUACACUGGGUUUGUUGCAGUAAGCCACCUCGAAUGUUGCUGUAGAAUUAAAGUAAGC
This 1707-nucleotide long non-coding RNA is filed under the name Homo sapiens (human). RNAcentral describes it as "LHRI_LNC1161.3". Lineage: Eukaryota; Metazoa; Chordata; Mammalia; Primates; Hominidae. The record is from RNAcentral.